GCAUACACUGGCCACCCUGAACGUGCCCAGUCUCAUCUGAUCUCAGAAGCUAAGCAAGGUCGCGGCUGGUUAGUACUUGGAUGAGAGACCACCUAGAAGGAAUACCAGGUACUAUAGGCA
RNAcentral lists this ribosomal RNA (120 nucleotides) under Pteropus vampyrus (large flying fox). Lineage: Eukaryota; Metazoa; Chordata; Mammalia; Chiroptera; Pteropodidae. The record is from RNAcentral.